Molecule: ribosomal RNA, 480 nt
Filed under: uncultured bacterium
Lineage: Bacteria
Description: bacterial SSU rRNA
Rfam family: Bacterial small subunit ribosomal RNA
Source: RNAcentral
AGAGUUUGAUCAUGGCUCAGGAUGAACGCUGGCGGUACGUCUGACACAUGCAAGUCGAACGGUAAGCCACCUUCGGGUGGCCUAGAGUGGCGAACGGCUGAGUAACACGUAGGAACCUACCCCUUAGUCUGGGAUAACGGGACGAAAGCCCCGCUAACACCGGAUAAUAUCGAAAGAUUGAAAGGUUACGCUGAGGGAGGGGCCUGCGGGCUAUUAGCUUGAUGGUGGGGUAACGGCUCACCAUGGCGAUGAUGGCUAGCUGGUCUGAGAGGAUGAUCAGCCAGACUGGGACUGAGACACGGCCCAGACUCCUACGGGAGGCAGCAGUUCAGAAUCUUGCACAAUGGGCGAAAGCCUGAUGCAGCGAUACCGCGUGGGUGAAGAAGGCCUUCGGGUCGUAAAGCCCUGUCAGAGGGAAAGAUAAUGACGGUACCCUCUAAGGAAGCCACGGCUAAUUACGUGCUAGCCGCCGCGGUAAUC